RNAcentral lists this transfer RNA (76 nucleotides) under Idiomarina sp. Its description in RNAcentral is "tRNA-Phe". It matches the Rfam family "tRNA". Rfam says of the family: Transfer RNA (tRNA) molecules are approximately 80 nucleotides in length. Their secondary structure includes four short double-helical elements and three loops (D, anti-codon, and T loops). Further hydrogen bonds mediate the characteristic L-shaped molecular structure. tRNAs have two regions of fundamental functional importance: the anti-codon, which is responsible for specific mRNA codon recognition, and the 3' end, to which the tRNAs corresponding amino acid is attached (by aminoacyl-tRNA synthetases). tRNAs cope with the degeneracy of the genetic code in two manners: having more than one tRNA (with a specific anti-codon) for a particular amino acid; and 'wobble' base-pairing, i.e. permitting non-standard base-pairing at the 3rd anti-codon position. Lineage: Bacteria; Pseudomonadati; Pseudomonadota; Gammaproteobacteria; Alteromonadales; Idiomarinaceae. The record is from RNAcentral.
GCCCGGAUAGCUCAGUCGGUAGAGCAGAGGAUUGAAAAUCCUCGUGUCGGUGGUUCGAUUCCGCCUCCCGGCACCA